This 694-nucleotide ribosomal RNA is filed under the name Genea tuberculata. RNAcentral's name for it is "LSU rRNA". It matches the Rfam family "Eukaryotic large subunit ribosomal RNA", at positions 82 to 778 of the family's 3401-position model. The record is from RNAcentral. Lineage: Eukaryota; Fungi; Ascomycota; Pezizomycetes; Pezizales; Pyronemataceae.
AGUAACUGCGAGUGAAGUGGCAAAAGCUCAAAUUUGAAAUCCGGUACCUUCAGGUGCCUGAGUUGUAAUUUGGAGAGACAAAUUUGGUCGAUGGCUCCGGCCUAGGUUCCUUUGAACAGGACAACAUAGAGGGUGAGAAUCCCGUGCCUGGCUGGGAAAUGGCUAUCGCAUUGCUACUUUGUCUUCGACGAGUCGAGUUGUUUGGGAAUGCAGCUCAAAAUGGGUGGUAAAUGUCAUCUAAAGCUAAAUAUUGGCGAGAGACCGAUAGCGCACAAGUAGAGUGAUCGAAAGAUGAAAAGCACUUUGAAAAGAGAGUCAAAAAGUACGUGAAAUUGCUGAAAGGGAAGCGCUUGAGAUCAGACUCGAACCGUGGUGCUCACCCGUGCUUCUGUGCGGUGUCACUGGCCGCGGUUUGGGCCAGCAUCGGUUCCGGCGGCUAGAUAAAAGGUGGUGGAAUGUAGCUUCCUUCGGGGAGUGUUAUUUUAGCCACCACCACAAUGUGGCCAGCUGGAACCGAGGACUGCGCGGAAAUUCCGCUAGGAUGCUGGUGCAAUGGUCUUAAGCGACCCGUCUUGAAACACGGACCAAGGAGUCUAACAUCUAUGCGAGUGUUCGGGUGGAAAACCCUUGCGCGAAAUGAAAGUGAACCGAGGUGGGAACCCGCAAGGGUGAACCAUCGACCGAUCCUGAAGUC